AUUGAACGCUGGCGGCAUGCUUUACACAUGCAAGUCGAACGGCAGCGCGGGCUUCGGCCUGGCGGCGAGUGGCGAACGGGUGAGUAAUGCAUCGGAACGUGCCCAGUAGUGGGGGAUAGCCCGGCGACAGCCGGAUUAAUACCGCAUACGACCUGAGGGUGAAAGCGGGGGACCGAAAGGCCUCGCGCUAUUGGAGCGGCCGAUGUCGGAUUAGCUAGUUGGUGGGGUAAGGGCUUACCAAGGCGACGAUCCGUAGCUGGUCUGAGAGGACGACCAGCCACACUGGGACUGAGACACGGCCCAGACUCCUACGGGAGGCAGCAGUGGGGAAUUUUGGACAAUGGGGGCAACCCUGAUCCAGCCAUGCCGCGUGCGGGAAGAAGGCCUUCGGAUUGUAAACCGCUUUUGUUCGGGAAGAAAUCCUCUGGGCUAAUACCCCGGGGGGAUGACGGUACCGGAAGAAUAAGCACCGGCUAACUACGUG
Molecule: ribosomal RNA, 484 nt
Filed under: uncultured bacterium
Lineage: Bacteria
Description: partial 16S ribosomal RNA
Rfam family: Bacterial small subunit ribosomal RNA
Source: RNAcentral